RNAcentral lists this ribosomal RNA (253 nucleotides) under uncultured bacterium. RNAcentral describes it as "partial 16S ribosomal RNA". It matches the Rfam family "Bacterial small subunit ribosomal RNA", at positions 524 to 776 of the family's 1533-position model. The record is from RNAcentral.
UACGUAGGGUGCAAGCGUUAUCCGGAAUUAUUGGGCGUAAAGAGCUCGUAGGCGGUUUGUCGCGUCUGCUGUGAAAACUGGAGGCUCAACCUCCAGCCUGCAGUGGGUACGGGCAAACUAGAGUGCGGUAGGGGAGAUUGGAAUUCCUGGUGUAGCGGUGGAAUGCGCAGAUAUCAGGAGGAACACCGAUGGCGAAGGCAGAUCUCUGGGCCAUUACUGACACUGAGAAGCGAAAGCAUGGGGAGCGAACAGG